Molecule: small nucleolar RNA, 74 nt
Organism: Octopus sinensis (East Asian common octopus)
Lineage: Eukaryota; Metazoa; Mollusca; Cephalopoda; Octopoda; Octopodidae
Product: small nucleolar RNA SNORD34
Exons: 1
Source: RefSeq, a predicted model, not a curated record
CUGUGUUAAUGAUGACUUUAAUUACCUACAUUGCUUGAUUCUUCUAUGAGAAUUAACAAAAUCUGACAACUCAG